GGACGAGUGGUCUCAAGGGAUAAGAUACAUCGUACUUCCGGGUACCUCAAAACAUGACUAUGCCAGAUGCGAUGUGAUGCCGGUUCGACUCCGGCCUCGACCA
RNAcentral lists this transfer RNA (103 nucleotides) under Friedmanniomyces endolithicus. RNAcentral describes it as "tRNA-Gly". The record is from RNAcentral. Lineage: Eukaryota; Fungi; Ascomycota; Dothideomycetes; Mycosphaerellales; Teratosphaeriaceae.